Molecule: transfer RNA, 70 nt
Filed under: Rivularia auriculata
Lineage: Eukaryota; Metazoa; Mollusca; Gastropoda; Architaenioglossa; Viviparidae
Description: tRNA-Ile
Source: RNAcentral
AGCAUUACGCCGGUUUGAACGGGAAUCAUUGAUGUUGAUUAAUAUAUGGAUUUAAGUUUCUUUAAUGCUA